This 89-nucleotide non-coding RNA is filed under the name Cellulomonas fimi. Its description in RNAcentral is "ZTP sequence". It matches the Rfam family "ZMP/ZTP riboswitch aptamer (pfl RNA motif)". From Rfam's summary of the family: Previously known as pfl RNA. ZMP is also known as AICAR. RNAcentral also lists the same sequence under 1 other name. Lineage: Bacteria; Bacillati; Actinomycetota; Actinomycetes; Micrococcales; Cellulomonadaceae. The record is from RNAcentral.
GGCCGCGGUCGUGACUGGCGCAGGUGGGUGCAACCACCGGGGAGCGGCCGCAGUGCCCCCGCCGAGCACCGCCCGCCUGGGUGCCUGGG